GUGAAUUGCAGAAUCCCGCGAACCAUCAAUUCUUUGAACGCAAGUUGCGCCCGAAGCCAUUUGGCCGAGGGCACGCCUGCCUGGGUGUCGUGA
This 93-nucleotide ribosomal RNA is filed under the name Macrocentrum droseroides. RNAcentral describes it as "partial 5.8S ribosomal RNA". It matches the Rfam family "5.8S ribosomal RNA", at positions 67 to 154 of the family's 154-position model. From Rfam's summary of the family: 5.8S ribosomal RNA (5.8S rRNA) is a component of the large subunit of the eukaryotic ribosome. It is transcribed by RNA polymerase I as part of the 45S precursor that also contains 18S and 28S rRNA. The record is from RNAcentral. Lineage: Eukaryota; Viridiplantae; Streptophyta; Magnoliopsida; Myrtales; Melastomataceae.